This 253-nucleotide ribosomal RNA is filed under the name uncultured bacterium. RNAcentral's name for it is "partial 16S ribosomal RNA". It matches the Rfam family "Bacterial small subunit ribosomal RNA", at positions 524 to 776 of the family's 1533-position model. The record is from RNAcentral.
UACGUAGGGCGCAAGCGUUGUCCGGAAUUAUUGGGCGUAAAGAGCUCGUAGGCGGUCUGUUACGUCUGCUGUGAAAACCCAGGGCUUAACCCUGGGCUUGCAGUGGAUACGGGCAGACUAGAGGCAGGUAGGGGAGAAUGGAAUUCCCGGUGUAGCGGUGAAAUGCGCAGAUAUCGGGAGGAACACCGGUGGCGAAGGCGGUUCUCUGGGCCUUACCUGACGCUGAGGAGCGAAAGCGUGGGGAGCGAACAGG